GGUUGUACAACAUUGUAUUUUCAAUUAUUUUAUUUACUUCAUUUUAAGGUAUCUCAAUGCAUAUUGUUCUAUUAUAUAUGAAUCUCUGUACCAUCAUUCAUAUCCUUUUUUAUUUCCUCUUUGGUAUUUGAUAGGAACCCGAAAAUAGUUAGGCCCAAUCCAAAAUAUCCAAGGUGUAUGUUAGACAGAGAAUGAAUGACAAAGUAGGGGAUCAAAAUGGCAUGAUAGAGAAUAAAUGACAGAGUGGGGGAUAAAAAUGGCAUGAUAGAGAAUGAGAAGAAUCCUUCCAUGUAAUAAAUUGUUGAGCUAGCACGGUAGGAAAGGAGUGAUUGUGUUGUAUGGGUAUAAAGCAUGGGAAGAGAGUGGGGAAGAAUAGGCUGGUAUUUGGGAGAGACUAGGCACUCUCUAACUGUCUAGAGAUACUUUCUACUUUUAUUGUUUUGUAUUUUCUUUCCUGAUUCAGGCAUUGAUGUCAUUAUGAUACGGUCCUGUUCAUUACUAAUACAGUGAUUAUUUAGCUAUACUUUUGCUUUCUUAUUCCUUGUACCUAUCAAUAGGUAUCAAAGCUCACGAUUCCCGGGGUUUGGAUGGUUAUGAAAUAGCAAUGGAGUCGAGAGUUGAAAAUUUAGAGAAAAGUAUGCUUGAACGGAAGCAUGACAGUGAAUCCCAAUGGACGAAAUCAAAAAGCUACUAAAGGAGAAAAUUUGAGGGUACACAAGCAGCCGAUUACGACAAUGACGUUUUCCAAAACGACAAAUGGAGGGAGAGAGUCAGGGUAGUCGAGCUAUUUCAUCACGAGUUUCUGAACCUUUUUCCAGAACUCGUGAUUCUUUAAGGGGGAGUCAACCACCAAGGAGGGAUUACAAAGGGAGAAAAUUGGAGAUUCCAAUAUUUUUUUGGAGAUGAUACUUAUGAAACACCUUUACCAAGUUGGGUCCAGUUAAAGGAGGCAGUGAUUCAAAGGUUUCAAUAAGAGAUAGUGCAUAAUCCUUUUGGGCCCUUGUUGAGCAUUAAGCAAACUGGGACAGUCAUGGAAUAUAGCGAAAAAUUUGAGAUGAUUUCAAUCCCAUUGAAAAACACUGAUAAGGUAAUGUUAAAAGGAAUUUUUCUAAACGGAUUCCGUGAAGAAUUGCAAGCCGAACUGAAGCUAUACAACAUGGAGUCACUAUCAGAACUCAUGAAUCGAGCCCUAUUGUUGGGAAAGAGGAAUUGGGCUUUGAAGAAAGGGGUAUUAGGCUCCGGUGAGAAAGUGAGCACGAGUGAGAAGGGGACUCCUCCAACAGUGACGAAUAUGAGUAGAUCGAAUAAUGCAAUGGUAAAUAUUGUGAAGAAUAAAUUCUAUGCUCAAAGGCCCAAUUAUGGAAGUAUGGAACCAACUUAGCCCAAACCACUAAAUGGGUCUAGUGGAGAGAAGAAAGACACUAUGGGUAGGAGGCUUUCGCAAGUUGAGUUGCUAGAACAAACUAAGAAGGGGUUGUGUUUUAAGUGUGGGGAGAAGUAGGGACCCUGAACAUGAAUGCAGGAUGAAGCAUUAUGAGCUAAUUUUGAUGGAAGAAUGGGGGGAGGAAGAAUCGAAGGAUUGGGAUGAAGAAGAGGAAGAAAAACCAGAGUUGGAGCACAAGACACUUCAAUUGUCUUUGAAAAGUAAGGUGGGGUUGACCUAUCACAAAUCUUUUGAGAUUUGGGGAACUAUUGGCCAAAGACGAGUGCUGAUAUCGUUCCAUUGUAGAGCAACCAACAACUUCCUUUCUAGAAGAUUAGUAGCCGAGUUUGAUCUUUAAGUGGAGAAUACCCCUAUUUAUACCGUGGAGGUGGUAGUGGUGUUAGGUAUGGACUAGUUGGCUGACCUUGGUGACAUUGAAGCUAAUUUUCGAAACAUGAUUAUUAAAUGGGGAGAUGAAGGAGGCAAUAAGGUGUUCAAGGGUGAUUAAAGCCUUACAAGAUGAAGGAGUAGGCUACUGUAUUGCACACCAGUAGUUGAAGAUACAACCUUAUAAAUUAAAGAGCUUGGCUAAAAAGGUCAGUCAUAAGUUAAGUCCGAGAUAUUAUGGGCCUUAGGAAAUUGUGGAGUUUAGUCUGGCUGCCUAUACACUGCAACUACCUUCGGGAAGCAAAGUGCACCCAGUUUUCCAUGUUUCUGCAAUGAAGAAAUCCAUCACUACAACAAUCACCAGCUAACCGUUACCUCUAUUUUUAGCAAAUGAUUGGGCAUUGAAGGUUCAACCAGCAGAAGUGCUUACUGUUAGAAGGAACCAACAAGGGGAUUUCGAAAUUCUUAUUAGGUGGAAGGAUUUGCCAGAUUUUGAAAAUUUGUGGGAAGCUCUAUCUACACUCAGGUGCAUCUUGAGGAGGGGAGUGUUGAUAGGAACCCAUAAAUAGUUAGGCCCAAACCCAAAUUAUCUAAGGUGUAUGUUAGAUAGAGAAUGAAUGACAAAGUAGGGGAUCAAAAUGGCAUGAUAGAGAAUGAGAAGAAUGCUUCCAUGUAACAAACUGCUGAGCUAGCACGGUAAGAAAGGAGUGAUUUUGUUGUAUGGAUAUAAAGACUAGGAAGAUAUUAGGGGAGAGACUAGGAACUCUCUAACUGUUUAGAGAUACUUUCUACUUUUCUUACUGUUCUGUAUUUUCUUUCCUGAUUCAGGCACUGGUAUCAUUCUGAUACAGUCCUGAUUUCAUUACUAAUACAAUGAUUAUACGGUUGUACUGAGCUUUCUUAUUUCUGGUACCUAUCAGUAUUUAACCUUAGUACAUGUGUUAUGUGAAGCCCAAUUGAUUUGUUCUUUUUGAAAACCUUUCACUGUAAUGAAGAAAAGAAAGCUGACCCUCA
This 2824-nucleotide long non-coding RNA is filed under the name Vigna radiata. Its description in RNAcentral is "long non-coding RNA (VRAD_LNC000337)". Lineage: Eukaryota; Viridiplantae; Streptophyta; Magnoliopsida; Fabales; Fabaceae. The record is from RNAcentral.